UUUGCUGUGAAUGAGGUUUUGUUGACUGAUCAAGGACGGGCGGGCAGCAAAGUAUUGAUCAACUUCAACAGGUUAGAAGGAUGAAAGUCAAAAGCAAUUUCAUAUUGAUCCAGCCUACAUACGUGAGAGUUCUUUCCUAAUUUCUUUCGUAAUGAUUCAGGAGAUCUCUCUUUCGAGUCGGUUCCAACAUAAGCACACUGUUCAAUAUUAUGGCACAUUCAAGGGAUAUCUGGUGGAUGUAAAUGGAACCGUGAAACUUGUGGAUUUUGGAUUGGC
Molecule: long non-coding RNA, 276 nt
Organism: Vitis vinifera (wine grape)
Lineage: Eukaryota; Viridiplantae; Streptophyta; Magnoliopsida; Vitales; Vitaceae
Exons: 3
Source: RefSeq, a predicted model, not a curated record